UCUGGUAUUGAUUGGUGCUUGCAUCAUGAUUUACAUUUGAGUGAGUGGCGAACUGGUGAGUAACACGUGGGAAACCUGCCCAGAAGCGGGGGAUAACACCUGGAAACAGAUGCUAAUACCGCAUAACAACUUGGACCGCAUGGUCCGAGUUUGAAAGAUGGCUUCGGCUAUCACUUUUGGAUGGUCCCGCGGCGUAUUAGCUAGAUGGUGAGGUAACGGCUCACCAUGGCAAUGAUACGUAGCCGACCUGAGAGGGUAAUCGGCCACAUUGGGACUGAGACACGGCCCAAACUCCUACGGGAGGCAGCAGUAGGGAAUCUUCCACAAUGGACGAAAGUCUGAUGGAGCAACGCCGCGUGAGUGAAGAAGGGUUUCGGCUCGUAAAACUCUGUUGUUAAAGAAGAACAUAUCUGAGAGUAACUGUUCAGGUAUUGACGGUAUUUAACCAGAAAGCCACGGCUAACUACGUGCCAGCAGCCGCGGUAAUACGUAGGUGGCAAGCGUUGUCCGGAUUUAUUGGGCGUAAAGCGAGCGCAGGCGGUUUUUUAAGUCUGAUGUGAAAGCCUUCGGCUCAACCGAAGAAGUGCAUCGGAAACUGGGAAACUUGAGUGCAGAAGAGGACAGUGGAACUCCAUGUGUAGCGGUGAAAUGCGUAGAUAUAUGGAAGAACACCAGUGGCGAAGGCGGCUGUCUGGUCUGUAACUGACGCUGAGGCUCGAAAGUAUGGGUAGCAAACAGGAUUAGAUACCCUGGUAGUCCAUACCGUAAACGAUGAAUGCUAAGUGUUGGAGGGUUUCCGCCCUUCAGUGCUGCAGCUAACGCAUUAAGCAUUCCGCCUGGGGAGUACGGCCGCAAGGCUGAAACUCAAAGGAAUUGACGGGGGCCCGCACAAGCGGUGGAGCAUGUGGUUUAAUUCGAAGCUACGCGAAGAACCUUACCAGGUCUUGACAUACUAUGCAAAUCUAAGAGAUUAGACGUUCCCUUCGGGGACAUGGAUACAGGUGGUGCAUGGUUGUCGUCAGCUCGUGUCGUGAGAUGUUGGGUUAAGUCCCGCAACGAGCGCAACCCUUAUUAUCAGUUGCCAGCAUUAAGUUGGGCACUCUGGUGAGACUGCCGGUGACAAACCGGAGGAAGGUGGGGAUGACGUCAAAUCAUCAUGCCCCUUAUGACCUGGGCUACACACGUGCUACAAUGGAUGGUACAACGAGUUGCGAACUCGCGAGAGUAAGCUAAUCUCUUAAAGCCAUUCUCAGUUCGGAUUGUAGGCUGCAACUCGCCUACAUGAAGUCGGAAUCGCUAGUAAUCGCGGAUCAGCAUGCCGCGGUGAAUACGUUCCCGGGCCUUGUACACACCGCCCGUCACACCAUGAGAGUUUGUAACACCCAAAGUCGGUGGG
RNAcentral lists this ribosomal RNA (1396 nucleotides) under Lactiplantibacillus plantarum. RNAcentral describes it as "bacterial SSU rRNA". It matches the Rfam family "Bacterial small subunit ribosomal RNA", at positions 62 to 1434 of the family's 1533-position model. The record is from RNAcentral. Lineage: Bacteria; Bacillati; Bacillota; Bacilli; Lactobacillales; Lactobacillaceae.